This 587-nucleotide ribosomal RNA is filed under the name Silanimonas sp. RNAcentral's name for it is "bacterial SSU rRNA". It matches the Rfam family "Bacterial small subunit ribosomal RNA", at positions 396 to 968 of the family's 1533-position model. The record is from RNAcentral. Lineage: Bacteria; Pseudomonadati; Pseudomonadota; Gammaproteobacteria; Lysobacterales; Lysobacteraceae.
GCCGCGUGAGUGAUGAAGGUCUUCGGGUUGUAAAGCUCUUUUGUUCCGGAAAAACAAGUCCCUGGAUCUAAUACCUUCGGUGGGUUGACGGUACCGGACCAAUAAGCACCGGCUAACUUCGUGCCAGCAGCCGCGGUAAUACGAAGGGUGCAAGCGUUACUCGGAAUUACUGGGCGUAAAGCGUGCGUAGGCGGUUCGUUAAGUCUGAUGUGAAAUCCCCGGGCUCAACCUGGGACGUGCAUUGGAAACUGGCGAUCUAGAGUACGGUAGAGGGUGGUGGAAUUCCCGGUGUAGCAGUGAAAUGCGUAGAGAUCGGGAGGAACACUCGUGGCGAAGGCGGCCACCUGGACCAGUAACUGACGCUGAGGCACGAAAGCGUGGGGAGCCAAACAGGAUUAGAUACCCUGGUAGUCCACGCCCUAAACGAUGCGAACUGGAUGUUGGGCUCACUUCGGAGCUCAGUAUCGAAGCUAACGCGUUAAGUUCGCCGCCUGGGGAGUACGGUCGCAAGACUGAAACUCAAAGGAAUUGACGGGGGCCCGCACAAGCGGUGGAGUAUGUGGUUUAAUUCGAUGCAACGCGCAGAA